RNAcentral lists this non-coding RNA (76 nucleotides) under Acetobacterium wieringae. Its description in RNAcentral is "c-di-GMP sequence". It matches the Rfam family "c-di-GMP-I riboswitch aptamer". Rfam says of the family: GEMM was predicted in a large-scale screen for bacterial structured RNA regulatory elements. Genes associated with GEMM are involved in a diverse array of functions, including chemotaxis regulation, signal transduction, secretion and chitin. The record is from RNAcentral. Lineage: Bacteria; Bacillati; Bacillota; Clostridia; Eubacteriales; Eubacteriaceae.
UGAAUUACAGGGCAAAACUGUUGUGAAAUAGUGACGCAAAGCUAAAGGGACUUUCUUAAGUCAGCCAGUUACUCAA